RNAcentral lists this ribosomal RNA (204 nucleotides) under uncultured Flavobacteriaceae bacterium. RNAcentral describes it as "partial 23S ribosomal RNA". It matches the Rfam family "Bacterial large subunit ribosomal RNA", at positions 1 to 213 of the family's 2925-position model. Lineage: Bacteria; Pseudomonadati; Bacteroidota; Flavobacteriia; Flavobacteriales; Flavobacteriaceae. The record is from RNAcentral.
AAUAAGCUAAAUAAGAGCGUAUGGGGAAUGCCUAGGCUCUCAGAGGCGAUGGAGGACGUGAUAAGCUGCGAAAAGUUGCGGGGAUUGGCACAUACAAAUUGAUCCGCAAAUAUCCGAAUGGGGCAACCCACUAUAUUGAAGAUAUAGUAUUCUGAACUUGUUUCAGRAGGCAAACCCAGGGAACUGAAACAUCUAAGUACCUGG